CUACUGAUGUUUACACGUUAGUUUUAUACCCUGCAACAUUACUGAAUUUAUCACAUUUAGUAGUCUUUUGGUACAAUCUUUAUUUACUUAUUUUACAAAACAGGUAAUGUGACUUUUUCUAUUUAUGUGGCCUUUCUUUCUCUUACCUAGUUGCUAGGCUAAAACUUCCACUAGUGCGUUGACUAAGAAAGGUGAGAGAAUCCAAGGACAGCACAAUAGAGCCAGUUGUGGGAGUAGGUGGUCAGAAGCCUAGAGGCGCUGGGAGGGGGCUUCCCGCUGUCAAUGGUCCCCCCCCUCCCCAGGGCGGAGGGGACGCCCAUAGCCUGGGGAACCGCGGGGAACCCCGUCCCGCCCCGCCCCGCCCCGUGGCCUGCGGGACUCGCCAGCCACGCCCAUCUCUGUCUUCAUCCUGCGCGGUGGCGGCCUGCCCUCGGGUCAGGAAGCCAGGCUCUCGUGGGUGGUGGAGGACACAGCCUGCAGACUCCGAGGCGCGAGCGGAGCAUCCCUGCCUCCGCGGGUCGCGGAAGUGACGCGUGGCACCCCGGCCAAGAGAGCGUUUGAAUCGGUUCCCGGAUUGCUUCCAGGCGGCAGCCGAGGAGGUGCUGCGCGGCCGGCCUAGACCCCUAGUCACGGCAGCUGGAGCCGAGGGCACGCGCGGAGUGGGCGUCGCCGCGAAGUGCUCCCUAGGGAGGGCCGUGGGGUGCUCACCGCAAUAUGGCAGUGACGGGCGCCAGCGAUCCCGGAGGCCUCUUGGAGGGGUCUGGGAGGGAAGGAGGCGUCGACGGCUGCAGGACCGUGUACUGGUCUGACUGCGCGGGAAGGCGGCUGAGCUCGGGGAGCGCGCACUGCAGGUCUCCAACCGCGCAGGCUAUGCGGAUUCCACGCUUCAGCGUGUCAGGUUAACUGGACUCCUGAGGUUAACAGAGAACAUUUGCUACAAGGUUUGCUUCCUGGUGUACAAGUACCAACAUCUGUGAAAGAUGUGAGCUACUGUCAGGUUUCUUUCCAAGAUGACCAUGUGUCUCUGGAAAGUGCAUUUACAAUCAGGCCAGCACACAGAGUAUAACUGUACGAGGCAUCAGAUUCAUCCCAGGUCCUCCUGGGCAUAAGGAUCUUUGUUUUACUUGGUGAGAGUUUUCUGACUUUAUUCGUGUGCACCUCAUUUCUGGACCUCCAACCAAGCUGCAUCUUAUCGACUGGCCAGAGCUAAAAGAGGUUCAGCAAAGAUGAUGGGGACCCAGGUCAGCUUCACUGACUGCAUUCGCAAUGGUCGCGAUGGUAAGGAAACUUGCAGAUUGUUAGAACUCCCAUCUCAAAUGACAAAAACUCAGCUCCCAGCCCCAGGUCAUCACAUCCUCUGAAGCAGAUUCGCCAACGAGCAGGGGGACCAUUGUUCACUAGAUAGCAGCAUGGGGCAGGAGAGAGGAUCAUGGUGCUGGCUGCAGAGGAUUUUAAGAUCCAGGGCAGUCCAGGAGUUCCCAAGGACCUUGCUGCAGCCAGCGCAGCCUGGAUAGCCAAGACUGGGAGGGAGUGCCGGGGUUGAGACCCGUGGAAGAACAGCAAGCUUUAUUUUGCCCAGCAACCAUUUAUACCUCUGUUCCUUUUGUGGAGCCCCACCAGCCAGAAAGAACACAAACAUCCUUGUCAAUUACAGACCACAAGGAAGUUCCGCUCUCGGUCAGGGGGAGUGAGGGCAGCUGGAUCACAACAGACCUGACUCACCAUACGAUGCCCCCAGGGGCCCGCUGAGAAGAAGCCGGUCUCCUCAGCAGGCUGUUCAGGAACUGGGUGCUCCUUCUUGCUUUUAAUUUUUCUGCAGGUAAGAAUGAACAGGGACAAGAAGAAGGGGAGCACAGGACAAGAGUCCUCCAGAACAGGCAUGUGGUUAAGUUAUGUUCCUCUCCUGUUCGUCAGUGUAUUUUUUACAGCUGCCCUGUGAGGCACACAUGGGAUUUAUUUGGGGUUUACAGGUGUUUUGCCAGCAUGGAUGUCUGUGUACUACCCCAGUGCCUGGUUACUGAGGAAGCUAGAAGAGGUUACUGGAACUCCCAUAACUGAAGUUUCAAGGGGUUGUGAGCUACCAUGCGGGAGCUGGCAAUCAAACCUGGGUCUCUGCAAAUGAGCUAAACCACGGCACUGUGUGGGACCCUCCCUCACUCCUUAUUCUCAAAGGGGCAAGAAGAAAUUUCCUAGCAGAAUGUUUUCCCAGGAAGAUAGUGGCCUUCCCCUCUCCC
Myodes glareolus (Bank vole) is the source of this 2234-nucleotide non-coding RNA. NCBI's taxonomy places the organism in Eukaryota, Metazoa, Chordata, Mammalia, Rodentia, Cricetidae. The record is from RefSeq and is a predicted model, not a curated record.